AUGGUAGAUAGGCUUCAAAGGCGCGGAUGGCCAAAUUGUGUCAUAUGUCCUCUUUGUAGACAAACCGGGGAAUCGGUGGAUCACCUCUUUUUCAAGUGUCGAUUUAGUAGGAGGCUUUGGAGCGUGAUCAAGGCUUGGCUCAACCUCGACGACUUUGACACUUCUCGUUGGACUGUGGAGCGUUCCAUCAAGGAUCGGUGGAUCAAUAUGUCCAAGAAGAGUGAGACAAACCGGAAGGCGAUGAUGUCCCUCACCAUGCUUACUUGUUGGACAAUUUGGUGUGAGCGGAAUGUGAGGGUGUUUCAACACAAAUCCACGCUCCCAUCUAUCAUUCUCUCCAACAUCAUGAACGAGGCAACGCUUUGGGUCACCGCCGGCGUGAAGCCUGUAAUUUUCUUUCGCUUUUGUUUGUAA
Molecule: ribosomal RNA, 414 nt
Filed under: Triticum aestivum (bread wheat)
Lineage: Eukaryota; Viridiplantae; Streptophyta; Magnoliopsida; Poales; Poaceae
Description: partial small subunit ribosomal RNA
Source: RNAcentral